This 372-nucleotide ribosomal RNA is filed under the name uncultured eukaryote. Its description in RNAcentral is "SSU rRNA". It matches the Rfam family "Eukaryotic small subunit ribosomal RNA", at positions 587 to 972 of the family's 1831-position model. The record is from RNAcentral.
AGCUCCAAUAGCGUAUAUUAAAGUUGUUGCAGUUAAAAAGCUCGUAGUUGGAUUUCUGGUAGAAGGAUCGAGCGCACCUGCGUGAUGCUCGCGUCUUCUGCCAUCCUUCUGUUAACCUUUCUCGGCAUUGACUUGUCGGCUAGGGGCUCAGAUAUUUUACCUUGAGAAAAUUAGAGUGUUUCAGGCAGGCUUAUGCCCGGAUACAUUAGCAUGGAAUAAUGGAACAGGACUUCGCUUCUUCUGUUGGUUUGAGGGGUUGAAGUAAUGAUUAAUAGGGAUAGUUGGGGGCAUUAGUACUUAACUGUCAGAGGUGAAAUUCUCGGAUUUGUUAAAGACUAACUUAUGCGAAAGCAUUUGCCAAGGAUGUUUUCA